This 490-nucleotide ribosomal RNA is filed under the name uncultured bacterium. RNAcentral describes it as "partial 16S ribosomal RNA". It matches the Rfam family "Bacterial small subunit ribosomal RNA", at positions 30 to 507 of the family's 1533-position model. The record is from RNAcentral.
AUUGAACGCUGGCGGCAGGCCUAACACAUGCAAGUCGAACGGUAACAGGAAGCAGCUUGCUGCUUCGCUGACGAGUGGCGGACGGGUGAGUAAUGUCUGGGAAACUGCCUGAUGGAGGGGGAUAACUACUGGAAACGGUACCUAAUACCGCAUAACGUCGCAAGCCCAAAGAGGGGGACCUUAGGGCCUCUUGCCAUCGGAUGUGCCCAGAUGGGAUUAGCUAGUAGGUGGGGUAACGGCUCACCUAGGCGACGAUCCCUAGCUGGUCUGAGAGGAUGACCAGCCACACUGGAACUGAGACACGGUCCAGACUCCUACGGGAGGCAGCAGUGGGGAAUAUUGCACAAUGGGCGCAAGCCUGAUGCAGCCAUGCCGCGUGUAUGAAGAAGGCCUUCGGGUUGUAAAGUACUUUCAGCGGGGAGGAAGGGAGUAAAGUUAAUACCUGUGCUCAUUGACGUUACCCGCAGAAGAAGCACCGGCUAACUCCGUG